This 1565-nucleotide ribosomal RNA is filed under the name human metagenome. RNAcentral's name for it is "bacterial LSU rRNA". It matches the Rfam family "Bacterial large subunit ribosomal RNA", at positions 1412 to 2925 of the family's 2925-position model. The record is from RNAcentral.
GGGGCGGGGCGGCGGGGGUCUGGGGACCCUCCGCGCAGGUAGGCAAGCGUAUUAACAGGGGUGACGCGCAGUGGUGGCCCCGCGGGUCUGAUGGCUCGGCCCGUUCAAGCGCGCGGCCCGCCGCCCAGGCAAAUCCGGGCGGCUGCCUUCGAUGGCGGGGGUGAGGCGCGAUGGUGACCCGGCCCGGUGGGGCCGGGGAAGUAGGGUGAUCCUGUGGCGCCGAGAAAAGCCUCGACGCGAGGGGCCGGUCCGCCCGUACCCCAAACCGACACAGGUGGUCGGGCAGAGCAUGCCCAGGCGCACGGGCGAACCGUGGUGAAGGAACUCGGCAAAACGCCCCCGUAACUUCGGGAGAAGGGGGGCCCGAACCCUGAAACGGCUGGCCCGUUGGGGGUGAGGGUCGCAGAGGCCAGGGGGGAGCGACUGUUUACUAAAAACACAGGUCCGUGCGAAGCCGCAAGGCGAUGUAUACGGACUGACGCCUGCCCGGUGCUGGAAGGUCAAGAGGAUCCCUCAGCCCCCCACGGGGGUGAAGGGGUGAGUCCAAGCCCCAGUAAACGGCGGUGGUAACUAUAACCAUCCUAAGGUAGCGAAAUUCCUUGUCGGGUAAGUUCCGACCUGCACGAAUGGCGUAACGACUUCCCCGCUGUCUCCACCACGGGCUCGGCGAAAUUGCACUACGAGUAAAGAUGCUCGUUACGCGCAGAAGGACGGAAAGACCCCGGGACCUUCACUGCAGCUUGGUAUUGGCGCCCGGUUCGGCUCGUGCAGGAUAGGUGGGAGACUGUGAGGCCGCCGCGUCAGCGGUGCGCGGAGUCGUCGUUGAGAUACCACUCCGGCCGUGUCGUGCGCCUGAACCUGGGCCCGUGAUCCGGGUCAGGGACAGUGCCUGGCGGGUAGUUCAACUGGGGCGGUUGCCUCCCAAAGGGUAACGGAGGCGCUCAAGGGUCCCCUCAGCCUGGUCGGCAACCAGGUGUCGAGUGCAAGUGCACAAGGGGGCUUGACUGCGAGACCGACGGGUCGGGCAGGUGCGAAAGCAGGAACUAGUGAUCCGGCGGCUCCGUGUGGACGGGCCGUCGCUCAACGGAUAAAAGGUACCCCGGGGAUAACAGGCUGAUCCUGCCCAAGAGUCCAUAUCGACGGCAUGGUUUGGCACCUCGAUGUCGGCUCGUCGCAUCCUGGGGCUGGAGCAGGUCCCAAGGGUUGGGCUGUUCGCCCAUUAAAGCGGUACGCGAGCUGGGUUUAGAACGUCGUGAGACAGUUCGGUCCCUAUCCUCUGCGCGCGCAGGAGACUUGAGGAGACCCGUCCCCAGUACGAGAGGACCGGGACGGACGGACCUCUGGUGCGCCAGUUGUCCCGCCAGGGGCACCGCUGGUUGGCCACGUCCGGGAAGGGUAACCGCUGAAGGCAUCUAAGCGGGAAACCACCUCCAAGACCAGGUCCCCGCACAACCCCCCCAGGGUGUUGUGGAAGGCCCCCAGUGGACCACUGGGUCGAUAGGCCGGAGGUGCAAGCCCGGCAACGGGCUCAGCCGACCGGUACUAAUAGGCCGACACGAACCACA